Trachemys scripta elegans is the source of this 2124-nucleotide RNA transcript. It is a transcript of the gene named sorting nexin 31, with no coding region annotated. The record is from RefSeq and is a predicted model, not a curated record. NCBI's taxonomy places the organism in Eukaryota, Metazoa, Chordata, Testudines, Emydidae. The transcript is spliced from 14 exons.
AGAGGAGCGGAAGUUGUAGCCGCAGCUGGAUGAACCUCAUUUGCGGGAGCUAGGACAGGAGACUUCCCCGUUUGUGGCAGUCCCCAGCCGGAGACAGGGACGAAGCAGCACCUGCCAGGAUGAACGGUUUGCUCCCCGCCCCCAGGAGGGAGGAGACCUUCCCGCCCCCUCCACUAUCACGUGGGAAAACAAAUGCUGCGGCCGCUGCCCUGCCCUGUCCCUGUGGCCCGGCGAGGUGGAGGGCGGGCCGCGUGCAGCACCAUGAAGAUGCAUUUCAGCAUCCCCGUCUCGGAGCAGCUGCUGGAGAAGUUCGGGGGCCGCUACGUGCUGUACUCGGUGUACCUGGAAGGCUUCCUCUUCUGCAAGGUGCGCUACAGCCAGCUACACCACUGGAACGAUCAGCUAAGACGGAUCUUUGGGAGUACCGUGCCUGCUUUCCCUCCAAAGUUCUAUCUUGCAAUGACCAAGUCCAUGGCUGAUGAGAGGAGGUCUCAACUUGAGCAAUAUCUACAGAGUGUAACUGUAGAUCCAAGUAUUACAAACAGUGAUGUCUUCAUCAGUUUUUUUAGAAAAUUACAGCAGGAUACAUUUAAGAUCCAGACACAGAGAGCCUCUCUGGAUGUUUACCUGGCUGAUGGAAGGAAUGUUAGGCUUGAUAUCCAGACAUCGGACACUGCUGAAAGAGUACUAGAGGUUGUCUCAUACAAGAUGGGGCUGUCAAGAGAAUUAAUAGGAUAUUUUAGCUUAUUUUUUAUUCAAGAUCACAGCAAUGGAGUUCUCUCUGUGGUGAAAAAAGUGGCAGAAUUUGAACUUCCCUACGUGAGUCUUCAGAGUAUGAAAGAGUCAGACUGUAAGAUUGGGAUCAGAAAAUGGUAUAUGGAUCCCUCUCUUGAUAAAAUGUUAAUGGACUGUAGAGCUUCAGUGAAUUUACUCUAUAUGCAGGCACUGCAGGAAAUUGAGAAGAAUUGGGUCAAACCCACAGAUGGACAGAUGCAGAAACUGGAAUCGCUACAAAAAGCGGCAAACAAAAUGAAGGUUCUAGAGCUGGUUCAGGAAGUGCAGCACUAUGGAUAUAUACAGCUUGAUCCCUGCACCUGUGACUAUCCAGAAGUAGGCUCUUCUGCUGCUGUUCAUGUAGGAAAUAAUGAGAUUAGCUGCUGCAUAAAGUUACCUAGUAACCAGACCAAAGAGGUCAGCUUCAAGAUCAACAGGGUGAGGUGCUGGCAGGUCACUUUUCUAGGCGCUAUUACACAGCCAAAAGACCAAGGACACGAGCAGACCCUAGAGCUCAGGUUCGAGUACAAUGAUUCGGACUCAUGGAGAUGGAUCGUCUUUUACACAAAACAGGCAUUUCUACUGAGUAGCUGCUUAAAAAAGAUAAUAUCAGAACAGCUGAUGAAGACAACCAAAGGAGACAAAGAAAUGGUGUUUCUAUGGUGGUCUUAGCUAUAGUGACUGAGUGCUAAAUGUCAAUACCUUUGCUGACAUCCUGAAAUUUGACGGUAUUGUAGAACAGCUGUUAUGUUCAAUUAUUUUUCUUUAAGAAGUGAAAGGAAGAGAAUGCAUGUGGGCUGCCGGAUUAGUACUUGUAUUAUGAUAUCGCCAUGCUCAUUAAAGUGAACAGGAAGGCAACAAAUGACUUCUAUGUUCCGUUUUAAGCAAUUAAUAAACAAACAUUGGGUAAAUGGAGAUGGAGACCAAUUUGAAACUGAUUUAAUCUUUAAACCCCAAGUUAUUUGUAGUAGAGAUAUGCUAACAUUUUAAAUGUGGCAGUGAUGGCUAAUUUUCAAAUGCUGCUGCUACUACUGUUUAGUAGCUAUAGUGAUUUUGAACCGAAUUAAGGAAGUGUAAAUAAAUGAACUAAUGCCCUACUCCUGCUCCCAUUGGAUUCAACGGAAACUGGGCCAGGCCCAAUAUGGUUUGUCUGUAUACUUGUUUUCUUUGCAUUUUUACUGUGUUUUAAAUUUCAUUACUCUGUGUAGCAGAUUGAGAUGCCUGAAUCCCUGAAGAGUAAAAAAUCCAGCGUCCAACAAAGUCAGAUAGCUCACUCUGGUUUUAUACCAAGAAAAAGGAUUUUGGUUAGACCAAAUAAAGAGGAUGGUGUUUUUGAGAAGAUAAGAGAGG